CGGAAAGGGAAAAGCUGCUAAACCGUGCUACCCUGGCCCAGGCGAGUUACCGCAGUGACACUCGAUAGCCCCUCGGAUGGGCGGAUCGAAACUCACCACAGAAAUUGAAGAACAGCCAAGGGAGCACCAUGAUUCUCUUGACACUGAUUUGGUCCCCAUUGCACCUGAUGCACACCACCCAACAACGCACAUCAGAUCCUGUGUCCUACUCGCUGGUGCUUUCUCAACAACAGGAUGCAUUCUCCAAUUGGUGGUAUGCUGCACAGUCAGAGCGUGGGAACAGGCCCUUCCGGCUCAACGAGUCCGCGCCGCCCAUUUUAAACCCAAAUUAACCUACCUGUACGUCUUUGCAAUGUGGGAGGUGUUGAAGCAAACAACAUAAAUCCGAAAGGUUUCUUAACUCUCAACUCGUACAUCAGUAUCGCUCUCAUCACCUGGCUGUAAGUUCCGAGUACUACCCAAGAAUUGGAGCAGAUGCAAGAUAUUUUAGAUAUCUCCAAACCAACAUCAAGGAAUAUUGCUUCAGCUGAAGUAGUGGAUUUAAUUCUUUUCUUUGUGCUGUCGAAGAGCUUGUAGGAAGACCUGCUUCACCUGGCUUAACAUGUCAUGAUACAAUUUCAGAUCUUCUUCCUUGGCUUUUAAAGUGCUCUGCAAGCCUGUCUUUAAGGCCUCGUUUUCAUCUAGCUGUAUGAAGUUCAAGACGGCUAAUUGUUUUGGCACAACUUUCAUGCAAAAGGAUUAAAACAAUCCCCAAGAGGACAAUGCAGGUCGGCAAGAAUGGAGCAUCCUACAGCCAGCCGUUGGUAGCCAGGAACCUCCUGUCACUCACAUCAAUUUCUGAUGCCGUCCAACGUGACCAUGGGACAAGGAGGAUCACUGUCCAUACACAUUUCUUGAUUGCAUUUCACUUGAUUCAUGAAUUUGAGACAAAGAAAUCUGCCCCAUCCCUUUAUUACUAUCAUUGAAAAAGACAAUCGUGUCAGCUAAAUCUUAAAAGCAUAAGAUGUAACUCCUGUGUGAAUUAAAUAAUCCCAACAAUGUAUAACACCUUUAUAUAUGGACUUAAAGUGUAUACUUUAAUGUGUGCCCCCUUUAUUGAGUUCUCAAACUUGGCUACCUUGCUGUGGUAAGGUAGAGGGGUGGACAGCAACAAGCCAUUGGAAAAAAAGGCUUACAGUAGAGGGAAAGGCCUCUUAUAACCUACUCAGGCCCACUUCCUCAACUCUUCCUCCAAUACGAGGACAACUCCAUUGGUGCUGCUCCCCGAACUUAUGCAGAACUUGAAAAUUUCCACUUUGUUCUUACCUUUACGAGGUCCAUCUCUGACCUUUCCCUUUCCUUUCUGGAUCUCUCAGUCUCCAUCUCAGGGGUUUGGCUAGCCACCAAUAUCCACUACAAUCCCACAGACUCCCACAGCUACCUUGAUUAUACUUCCUCCUACCCUGAUUCCUGAAAGGACUCUAUUCCAUUUCCUCGGUCCCUGUUGCAUUUGAUCCGAUGAUGCAUUUGAUCCAUCAUCAAAGAUUCCCACCAUCCGGGCCAUACCAUUUUCUCACAGCUACCAUCAGGCAGGAGAUACAAAAGCCUGAAAUCCCACACUGCCAGGUUCAAGAACAGCUACUUCCCUUCAAUCAUUCGGUUCUUGAAACAACUGGAACAACCCUAAUCACUGCAGUUGACCACGUUGAUCAAUUUGCACUAAAAUAGACUUUGUUUUUUUUUGUUCUAAUGUGUUCUUUCUUGUAAAAAUUGUGUAUAAUUUAUGUAUAAUUUAUGUUUUUCUUGUGGAUGCUGCUAUGUGCCUGUGAUACUGCUGUAAGCUUAAGAUAUUUAUUUAUUAGUCACGUGUACAUCGAAACACACAGUGAAAUGCGUCUUUCUGCGUUACUGAGAAUGUGCUGGGGGCAGCCCGCAAGUGUCGCCACGCUUCUGGCACCAACAUAGCACGCCCACAGCUCCUAACUGUACAUCUUUGGAAUGUGGGAGGAAACCGGAGCACCCGGAGGAAACCCACGCAGACACGGGGAGAACGUACAAACUCCUUAUAGACAGUGGCGGGAAUCGAACCCGGGUCGCUAGCGCUGUAAUAGCGUUACCCUAACCACUACACUACCUACGUGUACUUGUGCAUAUGGCAAUAAAUUUGACUUUGACAU
Long non-coding RNA from Pristis pectinata (smalltooth sawfish), 2156 nucleotides. RefSeq lists it as uncharacterized. The transcript is spliced from 5 exons. Lineage: Eukaryota; Metazoa; Chordata; Chondrichthyes; Rhinopristiformes; Pristidae. The record is from RefSeq and is a predicted model, not a curated record.